Molecule: ribosomal RNA, 1340 nt
Filed under: metagenome
Description: bacterial SSU rRNA
Rfam family: Bacterial small subunit ribosomal RNA
Source: RNAcentral
AGAGUUUGAUCCCGGCUCAGGACGAACGCUGGCGGCGCGCCUAACACAUGCAAGUCGAACGAGAGAGAGGGAGCUUGCUUCCUCAAUCGAGUGGCGAACGGGUGAGUAACGCGUGAGGAACCUGCCUCAAAGAGGGGGACAACAGUUGGAAACGACUGCUAAUACCGCAUAAGCCCACGGCUCGGCAUCGAGCAGAGGGAAAAGGAGCAAUCCGCUUUGAGAUGGCCUCGCGUCCGAUUAGCUAGUUGGUGAGGUAAUGGCCCACCAAGGCGACGAUCGGUAGCCGGACUGAGAGGUUGAACGGCCACAUUGGGACUGAGACACGGCCCAGACUCCUACGGGAGGCAGCAGUGGGGAACAUUGCACAUGGGGGAAACCCUGAUGCAGCGACGCCGCGUGGAGGAAGAAGGUCUUCGGAUUGUAAACUCCUGUUGUUGAGGAAGAUAAUGACGGUACUCAACAAGGAAGUGACGGCUAACUACGUGCCAGCAGCCGCGGUAAAACGUAGGUCACAAGCGUUGUCCGGAAUUACUGGGUGUAAAGGGAGCGCAGGCGGGCGAUCAAGUUGGAAGUGAAAUCCAUGGGCUCAACCCAUGAACUGCUUUCAAAACUGAUUGUCUUGAGUAGUGCAGAGGUAGGCGGAAUUCCCGGUGUAGCGGUGGAAUGCGUAGAUAUCGGGAGGAACACCAGUGGCGAAGGCGGCCUACUGGGCACCAACUGACGCUGAGGCUCGAAAGUGUGGGUAGCAAACAGGAUUAGAUACCCUGGUAGUCCACACCGUAAACGAUGAUUACUAGGUGUUGGAGGAUUGACCCCUUCAGUGCCGCAGUUAACACAAUAAGUAAUCCACCUGGGGAGUACGACCGCAAGGUUGAAGCUCAAAGGAAUUGACGGGGGCCCGCACAAGCAGUGGAGUAUGUGGUUUAAUUCGACGCAACGCGAAGAACCUUACCAAGUCUUGACAUCCUGCGACGAUGCUAGAAAUAGUAUUUUCCUUCGGGACGCAGAGACAGGUGGUGCAUGGUUGUCGUCAGCUCGUGUCGUGAGAUGUUGGGUUAAGUCCCGCAACGAGCGCAACCCUUAUGGUCAGUUACUACGCAAGAGGACUCUGGCCAGACUGCCGUUGACAAAACGGAGGAAGGUGGGGAUGACGUCAAAUCAUCAUGCCCUUUAUGACUUGGGCUACACACGUACUACAAUGGCGCUAAACAAAGAGAAGCAAGACCGCGAGGUGGAGCAAAACUCAGAAACAACGUCCCAGUUCGGACUGCAGGCUGCAACUCGCCUGCACGAAGUCGGAAUUGCUAGUAAUCGUGGAUCAGCAUGCCACGGUGAAUACG